Molecule: long non-coding RNA, 1176 nt
Filed under: Homo sapiens (human)
Lineage: Eukaryota; Metazoa; Chordata; Mammalia; Primates; Hominidae
Description: HSALNT0029648
Source: RNAcentral
AUGGGGUCUUACAUGAAUCUCAAGCAGUUUAAAAAGAAAUUAUAAAAAUCACCGAGUAGGCCGGGUUCAGUAACUAUUUUUAAUAAAAGUAUAAUUUUUUCUUUGAGACAGGGUCUUGCUGUGUCACCUGGCCUGGAGUGCAGUGGCAUAAUUAUGACUCACUGCAGCCUUGACCUCCGGGCUCAAGCAAUCCUCCCAUGUCAGCCUUCCAAGUAACUGGGGACUGCAGGCAUGCACCAUCACACCUGGCUAAUUAUUUUUUGUAGAGACAAGGUUUCACGAUAUUGUCCAAGCUGGUCUCAAACUCCUGGGCUCAAGUGAUCCAUCCAGCUUGGCCUCCAAAAGUGCUGGGACAACAGGGCAUGAGCCACCAUGCCCGGCCUAAUAAAAGUAUAAUUUCUUAGUAAAACUUAAUAGAUUUUUGAAAAUGUGUGUUUGUGUUUAGUGGGAGGUUUUUUCCCCACUAAACACAGACAUGCAUUUUUUAAAAAUUGUUUAUGUAAAGUACAGAAAGUAGUUAUUGUGCAAUUAUUAUAACCUCUAUCUUCAAAUAUUAUCUUGGAGAGUCAUCUGAGGCCUUGGAAGAAUGAGAGACUGACCAACAUACUUAGAUAAUAAGAAUCAAAACUCGCAAUGAUGGGUAAGCAUUUUUCUGGAGAAAAAGAAAAAUGGAAGUAAAAACUCACAAUGGCCAACCAAAAGUCAGGAGUCCUGUGUGUCUCAAUCUGUAGGUCAAGAGCCAAAUAGAAUAGAAUUAGCUGCUGUGCUUAAUAAAAAUUAAGACUCUCCAAAGGCUGACCCAGAAAGACUGAAGCAGAAUUUCUGGGAGCGUUCUCAAACCAAUGAACAUCUGUCUGAGCCAGUUUCCUCAUCUAUAAAAAAAGGAAUGAUGAAAAUGCUUUGUAGGGGAAAUACGGGAAUAGGAUGCAUCUGCAGAUCUGAGCUCCUUCUGGCUUCAACUAACACCAAGGGACCCAAAGAUGUCUACACCCAAGUGGGGCUGACUGCAAACACUUCCACCAUGGAAUGGUAGAACUAUGUUCAGGAGCUGUCAUGCUGAUAACCCGACCCAGAAUUCCCUAAGUCCUGAACUAUUUGCCACUACUAAUAGUAUGAGUAGAUUUCUAGUAUUAUGGACACCUCCUGGUAGCAAACAGUCCAGUUAAUUAAUGUGCA